ACGGGAGGCAGCAGUGGGGAAUAUUGCACAAUGGGGGGAACCCUGAUGCAGCGACGCCGCGUGAGCGAAGAAGUAUUUCGGUAUGUAAAGCUCUAUCAGCAGGGAAGAAAAUGACGGUACCUGACUAAGAAGCCCCGGCUAACUACGUGCCAGCAGCCGCGGUAAUACGUAGGGGGCAAGCGUUAUCCGGAUUUACUGGGUGUAAAGGGAGCGUAGACGGAGCAGCAAGUCUGAUGUGAAAACCCGGGGCUCAACCCCGGGACUGCAUUGGAAACUGUUGAUCUGGAGUGCCGGAGAGGUAAGCGGAAUUCCUAGUGUAGCGGUGAAAUGCGUAGAUAUUAGGAGGAACACCAGUGGCGAAGGCGGCUUACUGGACGGUAACUGACGUUGAGGCUCGAAAGCGUGGGGAGCAAACAGGAUUAGAUACCCUGGUAGUCCACGCCGUAAACGAUGACUACUAGGUGUCGGGUGGCAAAGCCAUUCGGUGCC
RNAcentral lists this ribosomal RNA (489 nucleotides) under uncultured bacterium. RNAcentral's name for it is "bacterial SSU rRNA". It matches the Rfam family "Bacterial small subunit ribosomal RNA", at positions 341 to 847 of the family's 1533-position model. The record is from RNAcentral.